GAGCUUAACUCCGGUAGAGCAGUGGAAACUGGUGUGCUAGAGGGCGACAGGUGUAGAGGGAAUUCCCAGUGUAGCGGUGAAAUGCGUAGAGAUUGGGAAGAACACCGGUGGCGAAAGCGCUCUACUGGGUCGCACCUGACCCUCAGGGACGAAAGCUAAGGUAGCGAAAGGGAUUAGAUACCCCUGUAGUCUUAGCCGUAAACGAUGGAUACUAGGCGUGGUUUGUAUCGACCCAAGCCGUGCCGAAGCUAACGCGUUAAGUAUCCCGCCUGGGGAGUACGCACGCAAGUGUGAAACUCAAAGGAAUUGACGGGGGCCCGCACAAGCGGUGGAGGAUGUGGUUUAAUUCGAUGCAACGCGAAGAACCUUACCAGGGCUUGACAUCCCGCGAAUCCCCAUGAAAGUGGGGAGUGCCUUCGGGAGCGCGGAGACAGGUGGUGCAUGGCUGUCGUCAGCUCGUGUCGUGAGAUGUUGGGUUAAGUCCCGCAACGAGCGCAACCCUCGUCCUUAGUUGCCAGCAUUAAGUUGGGCACUCUAGGGAGACUGCCGGUGACAAACCGGAGGAAGGUGAGGACGACGUCAAGUCAGCAUGCCCCUUAUGCUCUGGGCAACACACGUCCUACAAUGGUCGGGACAAAGGGGAGCGAGCUCGCGAGAGUCAGCGAAUCCCAGCAAACUCGGCCUCAGUUCAGAUGGCAGGCUG
This 703-nucleotide ribosomal RNA is filed under the name uncultured cyanobacterium. RNAcentral describes it as "bacterial SSU rRNA". It matches the Rfam family "Bacterial small subunit ribosomal RNA", at positions 605 to 1307 of the family's 1533-position model. The record is from RNAcentral. Lineage: Bacteria; Bacillati; Cyanobacteriota.